This 440-nucleotide ribosomal RNA is filed under the name uncultured bacterium. RNAcentral describes it as "partial 16S ribosomal RNA". It matches the Rfam family "Bacterial small subunit ribosomal RNA", at positions 338 to 795 of the family's 1533-position model. The record is from RNAcentral.
CCUACGGGAGGCAGCAGUAGGGAAUAUUGCUCAAUGGGGGAAACCCUGAAGCAGCAACGCCGCGUGGAGGAUGAAGGUUUUCGGAUUGUAAACUCCUUUUGGUAGAGAAGAUAAUGACGGUAUCUAACGAAUAAGCACCGGCUAACUCCGUGCCAGCAGCCGCGGUAAUACGGAGGGUGCAAGCGUUACUCGGAAUCACUGGGCGUAAAGGGCGCGUAGGCGGGAUAGCAAGUCAGAUGUGAAAUCCUAUGGCUUAACCAUAGAACUGCAUUUGAAACUGUUAUUCUAGAGUAUGGGAGAGGUAGGUGGAAUUCUUGGUGUAGGGGUAAAAUCCGUAGAGAUCAAGAGGAAUACUCAUUGCGAAGGCGACCUGCUAGAACAUAACUGACGCUGAUGCGCGAAAGCGUGGGGAGCAAACAGGAUUAGAUACCCCAGUAGUC